This 488-nucleotide ribosomal RNA is filed under the name uncultured bacterium. Its description in RNAcentral is "bacterial SSU rRNA". It matches the Rfam family "Bacterial small subunit ribosomal RNA", at positions 15 to 518 of the family's 1533-position model. The record is from RNAcentral.
GAUUCUGGCUCAGGAUGAACGCUUGCGGCGUGCUUAACACAUGCAAGUCGAACGGAGUUUAGAGAGCUUGCUCUUAAACUUAGUGGCGGACGGGUGAGUAACGCGUGGGUAACCUGCCUUUCACUGGGGGAUAACAGUUAGAAAUGACUGCUAAUACCGCAUAAGCGCACGGGAUCGCAUGAUCUAGUGUGAAAAACUCCGGUGGUGAAAGAUGGACCCGCGUCUGAUUAGCUAGUUGGUGAGGUAACGGCCCACCAAGGCGACGAUCAGUAGCCGGCCUGAGAGGGUGAACGGCCACAUUGGGACUGAGACACGGCCCAAACUCCUACGGGAGGCAGCAGUGGGGAAUAUUGCACAAUGGGGGAAACCCUGAUGCCAGCGACGCCGCGUGAGUGAAGAAGUAUUUCGGUAUGUAAAGCUCUAUCAGCAGGGAAGAAAAUGACGGUACCUGACUAAGAAGCCCCGGCUAACUACGUGCCAGCAGCCGC